This 3644-nucleotide long non-coding RNA is filed under the name Nicotiana benthamiana. RNAcentral's name for it is "long non-coding RNA (NBEN_LNC011265)". Lineage: Eukaryota; Viridiplantae; Streptophyta; Magnoliopsida; Solanales; Solanaceae. The record is from RNAcentral.
CAAAAUGUUGUAUUUUUCUACAACAUGUUGUAGAAAAAUAUAAAUAAUGUUUAGGAAACUUGUAUUACAUCAACGGAUUUCAUUUAAAUACAGGAUUCUAUGAUUUGAACAAGCUGGCAGGUUCGAUAUUCCAUUGCUUCUCAAAACUCAGAACUUCAGCAACACCUUGAGCACUAAAUUCAGCAGUAGUAGGCAUAGAAAUUUUCAUCUCAAAAUGACGCCCUUAACAGUAGAAUCAAAGCAUUGGAAUCACAGCAAUAUUGAGUUAGAAUAACCACAACGCAUAGCUGAAUAGUGCAGGAUCUGCUUUAACAAAAAUAGCUCAAAACUUGCAAUUCAGUAGUGUAUUGUUGGCAUAUAAACUGAAGAAAAGCAGUUGAGCUAAUCGAAGCUAAAACUUUUGCAAAAUUCCCUCAACUAUUAAGAAAAACAAUAGUAACAACAAUCAAUUAAAGAAAUGUGAAAAUCUUCAUUGUUGAGCGAAAAAUGAACAACGUAGGGCUGUGAACAGCAAGUAUGAAAUCCUUUACAGCAACAUAAUACAAGCAGCAAAUUUUUUUCCAGGAAACCUGCAACUUAACCAACUAGACAAUAGUUUAUGUAACAAAAGCACUUAAUUCAACCAGAAGAACAUUUUAGAAGUAAAAACUAGAUUUCAAGCUAUCACAGCUAAACUCGAGCACAGUCUCAACGAACACAAUUUCGGCAGAUUAAGCUUACCGUAUGCUCAACCAAAUCACAAUGCAAACUGCUCAAUCUCUAGUUCAACUGAAUCCCCUCUAUUAAACUGAAUGACAACAACAACUAUUAGAAACCAAUGGUAACAAGGUUCAAGUUAGGAGAAAUUCUGCUAUCAAUUUACUCCAGAAACUUUUCCAUAAACAGUGGAAAAUUUUUAACAAAUAAGCUUCAGAGGUUUGCAGUUAUUGCACAAAGAUAACCGUGUACAAUGCAUGAUUUUCUUUCAAACAUGGCCCCCACCAACGAUUCAUAGAAUGAAUUAAAAUCACAAAACAAUGCUCCAACAAAUUAAGACUGAUCUCAACAGAAAUUUCGUCAGCAUGAAAGAACUUUGACAAGAGAAUUCCAACUUGAACUCUAAGAAUUUCAAUAGUAGAGUCCAUUGACACAACACAAUUCACACAAUUUUCAAACAAACAACUUCUGAAUUUUAAAACUAACCUAUGUGGCUAAAAGUGGUUAGAAGUAUAAAAUUUGGCUAUGACCCUGCAAAGCCAAGAACCUAAGAUUUACUAAGAAGAUCAGACCAUAUGUGGGUUACCUAUGUAUUACGCCCCGAAAGAUGAGAAUCAGAUUUGCAUAGUUCAAGCAAAUUGGAUACAGGCAAGAAAUAAAAAAAAACUAAUUUUUAAAGAAAAUAUUUUCUUUUAUCUCUUUUUUUUUUUAAAAAUGUUGAAAUAUGUAAACUCUUUUGGAUUUUUUUUCUUUUUAUUCGAUUUUCAGGAAAUGAUGAAAAAUAGUAAAUAUAUUUUUUUGAAUUUUCACAUAUCUUUUGUCUCGUUUUGUGAUAAAAAUAUAACAAAAGCAUAACUAGACCCUACUUGCUUUAUUUUCACACUUCACCCUCUUUUCUUUUCAUUGUUUUUCUUUUUUUUUUCUCAUUUUUUCAUUUACCCUUAGUUUUUAUUGGUCCGCCAAAUAACCCUUUCAUCAUUUAAAAAAUGCAACAUGUGGCAUAUGAAAUGCAUCAUGAUGGUCUUUUAAAUUGGGUACACCUGUCCUAGACAGGCCCUGUCUUGUGUUGAGUCUCCUAAGUCAAAUACAUGAUGCAAAUAAGUGUUCCUACUAUGGAUUAGGCAUGAGGUCAAGUUAUUCUAAAUUCAAAAACCUGAGUAUGUGUUUUAGACAGUGUACCCGAGCGGACAACUCGAGUCGAGGAGGGGGCUACGUACCAAAAACCAAAAGGCCAUCCGGCUUAGUAAAUUGUCCGGCCUCUUUCAUAUUUCAUGGUAUGACACUAACAUAAUAGGGAGUCUCAACUAGUAAGUACACCUCGGCAAGGAAUUCUGUUAUGAACCUACGUGCAUUUUUGAAUCUUUUAACCACCUUUAUUAUUUUUCUUAAAGAGAAUUGCAACGUCGUUAAAACAUAUAUCGAACCACGUCACAUAUAUGCACCCGUGGUUUUUGACACAUUUCAGCUUCGCUGAAAUUUGGAUUUGGGUCACAUAAAUGUGCACCAAAAUUUAUAAAAAUUAAUAUAAAGUACGCAUCUAAUGCAAUUACGUGUUUAUUUAUUUUCCUAAUCUUUAAUGAAUUGGAUUUGGGUCACAUAAAUGUGCACCCGAAUUUAAAAAAAUUAAUUUAAAGUACGCGUCUGAAGCAAUUACGUCUUUAUUUAUUUUCCUAAUCUUUAAUAUUGUUGUAAAGAUUUAAGAGUUAUAAAAACUAUUGUAGACAGAAAUAUGAUUCGAUCCUUUGGGAAGUAUUCAUCACAAGAAUGGAGAAGAAUAUGUUGGACUCAUAGGUGUUACUAAUCCUGGCUCAGAUCUUUAUAAAUUCAAACUAACCUCACAUGCUAAACCAUUUUUCACUAUGCUCACGCCUAUUUUUAGACUCUAUCAGUAGAUACAAUUCCAGUUCUCCUCAACAAAAUUCAAAUUGCUUUAAUUUUAGACCCAACAGAUCGAUUCUCUACCUCAAAAUGAAAUGGCUAGUAUAUUUACCAGCCACAAAUCCAUUAACAGUGCAUUAGCUAUUUAACACAAUCCAAAAAUCAAGACUUUGAUUCUAGCUACACCCAAAACCUAUUGUUGUCCAAGUUCUAAAAGAAUUAAAUUCACAAUAAAGUAAUUAAAUUAUUCACAUUAAAGAUCCAAUAACAGACCCAAAUAAACACAUGGAAAAGGUCAGAUGGCAAACGAAAAUUUAAACAAGAGAACACUAAGGAAUUCAAAUAGCAAAGGUAAGAAUAAACCUUAAUAUUCAGUAAAUAAAAUUCUUCAGCAGAUGAAAACACGAAGCUUCCGACAUCAACAAAAUAUAUGAAUUCCAAAGAUUACAACUCCAAUAAAUAGCUCUUCAGUAGAUGAAAGCACGAAGCUUCCUACAUCAACAAAAUAUAUGAAUUCCAAAGAUUACAACUCCGAUAAAUAGCUCCAACAAGAUCUGCGACAUGAACACUCGAAAUACGACCUCGACUCUCUUUGUGGUGAUUUAAGAUCUGAUUGGAGUUGGAUCUUGGACUGGUUUACAGCUGAGCUUGAGCUCUGUUUCGCCUGUUUCCAUGGAGUUUCAAGGCUAUUUUAUGGCUAAUUUUUCUGGGUUUUAGGUUGGAAAAUAGAGCUGGUUUUGAAUGAUUUUGGUCGAAUUAGAGGGUUGUUUUUGGUUGCGUUUUGGGGGUGUUCCAGGAAUGAUUUUUGAGUUGAUUUUGCAGUCGCUUCAAGCUAUAUCAUUGGGAGAAGACAAGGUGGUUUAUGGGGUUAAGUUUGGAGUGUUUAAUGCAGCUUUUUAUUUGUGUUUCAAUGAGCUCCCAUGGUGAAAACGGGAAGAAGAAAAACUGUCGAGAUGGUGAAGAAAACCAAUAGCUGCGUAGCUUUCUUCAAGCCUCCCUUUUCUGUGUAUAGGCGCGUGUUUAUCUCUUGUGUAUCUAUCCGUAUAUGUGUGUUAGGGUUUGUAGGUGAG